RNAcentral lists this ribosomal RNA (451 nucleotides) under uncultured organism. Its description in RNAcentral is "partial 16S ribosomal RNA". It matches the Rfam family "Bacterial small subunit ribosomal RNA", at positions 329 to 797 of the family's 1533-position model. The record is from RNAcentral.
ACGUACACUCCUACGGGAGGCAGCAGUGGGGAAUAUUGGACAAUGGGCGCAAGCCUGAUCCAGCCAUGCCGCGUGAGUGAUGAAGGCCCUAGGGUUGUAACGCUCUUUCACCGGAGAAGAUAAUGACGGUAUCCGGAGAAGAAGCCCCGGCUAACUUCGUGCCAGCAGCCGCGGUAAUACGAAGGGGGCUAGCGUUGUUCGGAAUUACUGGGCGUAAAGCGCACGUAGGCGGAUCGAUCAGUCAGGGGUGAAAUCCCAGGGCUCAACCCUGGAACUGCCUUUGAUACUGUCGAUCUGGAGUAUGGAAGAGGUGAGUGGAAUUCCGAGUGUAGAGGUGAAAUUCGUAGAUAUUCGGAGGAACACCAGUGGCGAAGGCGGCUCACUGGGCCAGUACUGACGCUGAGGUGCGAAAGCGUGGGGAGCAAACAGGAUUAGAAACCCGGGUAGUCCC